Molecule: long non-coding RNA, 2067 nt
Organism: Onychostoma macrolepis
Lineage: Eukaryota; Metazoa; Chordata; Actinopteri; Cypriniformes; Cyprinidae
Exons: 3
Source: RefSeq, a predicted model, not a curated record
AUAACAGUCAUUUGUUCGUGAAUCGUGUUUUAUGCUUUGAUUCACAAAAAAGAACCGAGUCAUUUGUUCGUUAAGCGUGCUUCACUGCUCACGCUCACAGUGUAAUAUUAUAGAUCAGUGUCACUCACGCUAUAUGUUUUUGAAUCACUAAAAUGAAUCGGCCGAUAAGAGUCACGUUUUUUUCUUGAAUCAGAACACGAGACAUAUUGACGUUUUAGCUUGCAGUUUUCCGCGAAAACAACUCAAAAGAAAGACGUUACUAUUCUUGGUCAGUCUUCUAUUGCAGAAAGCUCACAUUCACAACUCAGAUGGCAAUGAGAUUACAUGGACAGUAAAUGAAGACUGAACUCAUACUCAAAGUUCUUCUCCCAAGAAACCAAGAAGAAAGUCGUUUCACAUGAAUUUUUGGAGUAACAUCUGAGACAAAUUUGAUACUUGAAAGAAACAACUGAGAACUGAAUGACUUCUCCUGAGGUAUGAAAGAGCAACCAGCCCAGAGAAGCUCAUGUUGAGCACGUGUCCUCAAGCACCUCAUUCCCACAGAAUGCAGAACGGCGUCCAGAUCCUCUUAUCUGGAGGAGAAAUCCAGCUGCACCUCGGAAAUAUUUGACAGGCUCAGAGGAGCCUGUGAUCGUGUGACUCUCUGAGCGCUCGGGCUCUGAAAUAACAAAGCAUGGGUUAAACAAAGACAAGCACUAGCAGAUGUGUGGGAGCAGCAGGCUCCAGAUCAGUCAACAGACACGUAAAGCUGCCCGAUUCACUUCUCGAGGUAAAACAUUUGUCAUCCGCAUCCACUCAGAGCCAAGCUUUUGGCAAGCGUCUUUAUCGUUUCUUACCACGUUGCUGCCACACAAAGAAACACGCAACUGAAAACAUCAUGUAGCUCGCAGCCCUGUAUGAAAGGAAGGAUCACAAAUGAGAUCUUUUUAAUAUAUCAAUUGUUUCUCCUAAACAAAUAUGAGAUUACAUGGUGAUCAGAUGGAGACAUUUGCUUAAAGGAGUUAUAUUUCAACAGAAAUUUGAGCGGAAAGUUGAUACUGACUGCAAAUGAAGGUAAUUAAACAUGUUUUCCUCUAGGGGUCACAAAAUGUAUAAAUGAAGUCUGGUAAAUAAUGCAAAGACCGAUGCUGUUUGAAAUCGUCCAUGCUGUUAACAUAAGGUGCACAUCAAAUUAACAUUCACACAUAAUCUGAAAGCUGAAUAAAUAAGCUUUCCAUGGAUGUAUGGUUUGUUAGGACAGGACCAUAUUUGGCCGAGAUACUAUUUGAAAAUCACCUUUAAAGUUGUCCAAAUGAAAAAAAUAAGUUUUGAUAUAUUUAUGGUAGGAAAUUUACAAAAAAUCUUCAUGGAACAUGAUCUUUACUUGAUAUCCUAAUGAUUUUUGGCAUAAAAGAAAAUUCGAUCAUUUUGACCCAUACAAUGUAUUGUUGGCUAUUGCUACAAAUAUACCUGCGCUACUUAAGACUGCUUUUGUGCUCCAGGGUCACAUAUAAUCGAAAAUACAAGUCAUCUGACCUGUCACAUACUCAGAUGUUCAUCUGAUGUUUACAAGAAAAAUCAUAGGUUAUGUUUGGAAUGGGAUGCUUGCAUACUGCACAGUAUAUAUGUUGGCUAUAGGAUUUUUUAAAUAGCAUUACAUUACAGUGCUGUAUGUAGUAUACAGUGAUAAUGUUUCAAACAGAAUUGUUAUCAUAUACUCAACAUGUUGCAUAUUUAUUGAGUGAGCAGUGUCUCAUCUCAGAAAUUAUAUUUAUUUAUUUCAUUUAUUUAUUUGUUUAUUUUAUUUAUUUAUUUAUCACAUUUUUUUUUUUUCAUUUGUAAUCCAAUUUUGGGAGAAAAUUAAUUCUGUUAGUCUGGUUAUAUCAAGAGUAGUAAUGCCAAAAGUAAUAAUGGCUGAUAAUGUUUCCACUGGUUUUGUCACUUUAAAAAUGGAAGAACAAGCAAAGUGCAUUACUUUGCAUUUCAGCUCAGGAAACAUAAUAUAUCAGCUUUGUCUCUCUCUCUCUCUCUCUCUCUCUCAAUUCAAUUCAAGUGUGCUUUAUUGGCAUGACAAAAACUAUACAUUUG